AUACUACCCGUUAGAUUUCAGGAAAUAGACGGUCAGAUUUGGCUUUGGUUAGAUUAUUUUACUGAUUUUAUAAUUCACUAAAUAACAUAAAAUAAUUCGACGGGGUUAAAUCAGUAUUUUAUCACCCCCGAUUAUUAACUCUCCCUAAUCAAAUCCCGGAUAUUGUGCAAAUUCCAAACGACUUGCGGCAUCUUUAUAUUCAAGAAAUAGAGUUUGGGCAGAAUGUUCUGGGCGUCGAUAUUCAUGAACGGCGGAAGAUUUUGGGCGGCUAUUUUCUUCAGCGAUUUCAACCAUUGACGAAUGGACGCUGGAAUUAUUGAAGUCUGCUCAUCCAAUCUACCCACCUUUUUCACUAUCCUCUAGAAAUCGUCGACUUCAUUUCAAUUUCUCUAAAAUUUUCUGGUUACAAUGGAUGGAUCGUUUUUGCUCUUUAGGGGAUUCCUCGAGCCUUAUAACUGGAAGUGCUGAUCCAUCUGCAAAGUCAUAUGGGAUGUCAAAACAGGGACUCUGUUUUCUGUUAAUUGAAAAACUUUGUUUUGUUCAUUGCGAAAUUGUAAUUAUUCAUUACAUAUCAUAUUCAUGAAUAAUAUUAUUUUAUUCAGAAAAAUAUUUUCCUUAUUCACAACUUAUGAAUAGUAGAUGUAUUAUUCAUCAAA
Molecule: long non-coding RNA, 656 nt
Organism: Salvia miltiorrhiza (redroot sage)
Lineage: Eukaryota; Viridiplantae; Streptophyta; Magnoliopsida; Lamiales; Lamiaceae
Exons: 2
Source: RefSeq, a predicted model, not a curated record